GCCUUUAAUAAGAUUUUCUAUUAAGUUUUUCUUUUUUUUUCUUUUUUGUAUCGGGGAUCAAACUCAGGUCCUUGCGCCUGCUCAGCAGGCGGCGAAAACACUGAGCUAAAUCCCCGGCCCCUAUUAACUUCUUUCAUAAAGCUCGAUGAGAUCCUAUUUUAUCCUUUUCCUACCUGUGAUCUCAUGUCUCUACAAGGGCAUCCCCUACAACGGGUGUGUAGGACCAGGAGGAAAGGAGCAGGGCCAGCAGGGGCUCAGACCUUCUCCGCUGUUUGUGAAACCUGCUCCUGUGGAUGUCCUGCCAUACCUCAGAAGAGCUCCUGUGGGUACCCCGAUCUGGGGGAGCCAGGUCAGCUGAGGAAACAAGUCUGUUAAGAGCCCCAGAAAGUGGAAAUGGAGAAUCACAAGAUUCACAAGAUGAGAAUCACCUUUGCACAGGACAAGGGGAGAUCAUAGCGACUCCUCAGACCCAAAGCAGGCUGACAAGGAGGUAAAGCGGCUUUGCUUUUUUGUGGGACCCAAGUAUGCUCAGUGAGUGAGCUGAUUAUUUUCUGCUGAUUAGAGUGGAAAAAGAAAUGGCAUUUAUUUGUGGAAACAAACUUGCAGAAGCAGAGGUGAGCGGGAUUCUUCAGUGAGUGGGUCAUUGAUGCUGGCCUCAAGGCUUUCGGCCCGUCCUCGGUGACUCCCAGCUACAGGCAAGACCCAGCAGCAGAAGAACCCUGGGAACAGACUGUGUCCCCAGACCCUGGCUGCCUCCAGGGAUGUUCUUUCUAAUGCACCCAGAACACAAAUCACAUGGCUUCACCGUGACAGUUAUAAAUUUCAUCCACCAUGGAGAGUUGGAGGCAGGCGAUUUGUUGGGUCCAAGUCAAAGGUUACAAAAGAAUUCUUCAGAUUUGGGUGAUUUCCACACCUAUUAGGACCUGAAAGUCAUUUUCUUUGGAAGGAACAGAGCAGAAGGGAAUGUAACUCCAGAAUCUUCCAUCCUGGGUAGCUGGUGCAUCUAGCACUGCUGAGAGAGACAAGAAUUAAUAUGGAAGCACUCACCCACCCCUCAUCCUCUCUGGCCUGUCGGUCACCUGGAAUCUCUUGCAUCCCAUUUUCUGCAGCUCUGAGCCUGAUGGGGUUUUUGAAAUGCACCCAGCAACCCUCCAAGUGAGCUCCAAAUGCAGCUCCAACCUACCACAGCCCCCAUUGGAAGGUCUGGCUAUUUUCCUAACACAUAGGGUAAUGAUGGACAGAAGAGCAAAAACUUCAGGUAUACAAACUCUGUGCCUGUCCUGUCCAGAGAGUGGAGCUGCAUUAACGGUGGGGCUGAAGCUGCCUGGGCAGACAUGGCUCAGAGGAAGGCUGCUUGUUAGUGGAGGGCUCUCUGCCUUCUAACUGGCUCUGUUCCCAUCUCCACUUGUUCCAGUGGCCACCUUGUUCUCUUC
This is a non-coding RNA of Heterocephalus glaber (naked mole-rat), 1433 nucleotides long. The record is from RefSeq and is a predicted model, not a curated record. NCBI's taxonomy places the organism in Eukaryota, Metazoa, Chordata, Mammalia, Rodentia, Bathyergidae.